AUCGAAUUGGCCCUGUCAACACUGGCUCUCUACUAGUGAGGCAGCAUUCAUGUUGGAAAUUACACCAGAUGAGUUCCGGCGUACUGCAGCUCAAGGUCAUCUAAAUGCUGCGUUCUGCUCCAAACAAUUUAGACCAGUCUCUUCUGGAUGAGCGUCUAGAAGAUAAUGAGGAAGAAGGAGACUUCCUCUCACGAUCCCGA
Long non-coding RNA from Mauremys reevesii (Reeves's turtle), 200 nucleotides. RefSeq lists it as uncharacterized. The record is from RefSeq and is a predicted model, not a curated record. NCBI's taxonomy places the organism in Eukaryota, Metazoa, Chordata, Testudines, Geoemydidae. The transcript is spliced from 3 exons.